Molecule: transfer RNA, 88 nt
Filed under: Candidatus Dadabacteria bacterium
Lineage: Bacteria; Pseudomonadati; Thermodesulfobacteriota; Candidatus Dadabacteria
Description: tRNA-Ser
Rfam family: tRNA
About the family: Transfer RNA (tRNA) molecules are approximately 80 nucleotides in length.
Source: RNAcentral
GGACAGGUGGCCGAGCGGCCGAAGGCGCACGCCUGGAACGCGUGUAGGGGGCAACUCCUCGUGGGUUCAAAUCCCACCCUGUCCGCCA